RNAcentral lists this ribosomal RNA (399 nucleotides) under Triticum aestivum (bread wheat). RNAcentral describes it as "partial small subunit ribosomal RNA". Lineage: Eukaryota; Viridiplantae; Streptophyta; Magnoliopsida; Poales; Poaceae. The record is from RNAcentral.
AUGAUAAGGUCUUACAUAUUUUGUACUGUUCAGGUCCUUCAAUGGGUAUAUUGUGCGUCAAAGGUCCUGUUCAUCUGUAACAAAUUCCGUUGUAGACUGAGUCGUAUGUGUUCUUCAAUCUAUUUUCAUGUUGUUUUCUUGGGCCUUAGUGUUUUGAUUCUUGGGCGUUUUGACAAAUGCUUCACAAAUGAAGCUCAUGUUAACAAUUUCAGAGGUGUAGGUUGGUCUGCAGCUCAUGUGGGCGGAGGAGAAGCAUGCUUCAGUUUGUCCCACAAAAGUAGUUGCCUCAAUCCUUGCUGUCACCGUCGGAGACGAAACUUGGUGGUAAGCCUCUUCUCCUCUUCUCAGUUCUUUGCCUUUGCUUCGAAUGAUCUCUAUUUAUGUUAUUAUUGUUUAUAA